This 428-nucleotide long non-coding RNA is filed under the name Vulpes vulpes (red fox). RNAcentral describes it as "lncRNA (ENSVVUG00000004656.1)". The record is from RNAcentral. Lineage: Eukaryota; Metazoa; Chordata; Mammalia; Carnivora; Canidae.
AUGGCUGGGGAGUGUCAGAGCUCACAUAGACCUCCGUCUAAACUAACGAAAGGCAGUACUUGGAACAAGAAAGAAAGGACGCAUAACCAAUCCUCUUUGCUUUGCUUUGGAAUUUACUUUAAUUCGUGCCACUGUGGAUGUAAGGCCCAAAAGAGAGAAUUCUGUUUACACCCCUGUCGCCAGAUCCAAAAGGGAAGAUCUUGGAGCUGUUGCUACCUAGGCUACUCUCUUUGACUUUGAAGAGGUUUUUCUCCAGAUCUGCCCACAGAAGCUUCAGAUACCAGAACAAUCUGGUCUUAUUCAACUCAUUUCAAGUCAGCAAAUGAGAACUGAGCAAGCAUCUGUGUUUCAGGCACCGCGGGAGUUUCAGAGAUGAGUAAGGUAUAUUCGCUGCCCCCAUAAAUAAACCAGGUGGAACUAGAGAAACA